CGCGUAGGCGGCAAUACAAGUCGCAUGUGAAAGACCAGGGCUCAACCCUGGGGUGUCAUGCGAAACUGUAUAGCUUGAGUGCAGUAGAGGAAAGCGGAAUUCCUGGUGUAGCGGUAAAAUGCGUAGAGAUCAGGAGGAACACCGGUGGCGAAGGCGGCUUUCUGGGCUGUAACUGACGCUGAUGCGCGAAAGCGUGGGGAGCAAACAGGAUUAGAUACCCUGGUAGUCCACGCCGUAAACGAUGAUUACUAGGUGUAGGGGACGCAGGUCUUCUGUGCCGGAGCUAACGCAAUAAGUAAUCCGCCUGGGGAGUACGGCCGCAAGGUUGAA
RNAcentral lists this ribosomal RNA (330 nucleotides) under uncultured bacterium. RNAcentral describes it as "bacterial SSU rRNA". It matches the Rfam family "Bacterial small subunit ribosomal RNA", at positions 568 to 898 of the family's 1533-position model. The record is from RNAcentral.